CGAACGGGUGAGUAACACGUAGGAAACCUGCCCUCAGGAUUGGGAUACUCCCGAGAAAUCGGGCUCAAUACCGGAUAUGACCCCAGGGUGAAAUGCCCAGGGGUAAAAGUUGCGAGCAAUCGUAGCACCUGAGGAGGGGCCUGCGGCCUAUCAGCUUGUUGGUGAGGUAAUGGCUCACCAAGGCGAAGACGGGUAGCCGGACUGAGAGGUCGAUCGGCCACACUGGAACUGAGACACGGUCCAG
RNAcentral lists this ribosomal RNA (244 nucleotides) under uncultured bacterium. RNAcentral describes it as "partial 16S ribosomal RNA". It matches the Rfam family "Bacterial small subunit ribosomal RNA", at positions 99 to 334 of the family's 1533-position model. The record is from RNAcentral.